UCGUCAAGCCAAAAAGAAAACUAGAGAGUGUGUCUUGUUAAUAUUGUUUUAUCCCUAAACGCUGCUGUUUCGUGCUCCUUCAUUUCAUUUCACUCCUCCCGCUCAGUUCCAUUCCCUUCUCCACCCUCCACCAGCACAAACAACCAUGGAAGAAGAAUUGCCGCCGCCGCAGUCAGAUCUCCCAAGUCCAAACCCAGCCAGUUCCAUUGACGCCACGCUCCAAAAAAAGCACCAAGCAAUGCUAGACCGUCUCUCCAAUCGCCACCAAUCCCGCCAAAAAACCGCUACCACCUCCACCACCAUUGAUUCCACGGCCUCCUUCCUCUCCACUUUCACAGAAUCCAAACGCUCAAUCGAAUCUCAACUCAACAACUCGCCUAACACACCAGAUCCUACUCUCCUAAAAUCUCACCUCGCUAAUAUCUCCUCCUCCAUCUCCUCCCUCGAAAAACUCGUCGCCGAAAGCUCCUACUUUCUCCCUUCUUACGAACUCCGCUCCUCUCUCAAAUGCAUCGAGAAUUUAAAACAAUCUCUAGAGAAUUUGAAUUCUCAACUUCUCCCCAAGAAGAAAUUCUCCUUCAAAAACAAAUCCACUAGUAAACCAAAUCCCGGUAAUUCAAAUACAAAUCCAAUCCCACCAAAUCCAUCUCACAUACCUCAAUCAAUUCGCGAUUCACCUGGAAUUCGAAACAAAGAAAACCAAAUUUUAAGCAAAAAUUUCAAGAAUUUUAAAGAGAUUGGGGAGUUUACGCUAUCGGAUUUGGAUUCAUGUGAAGUGAGAUUGAUCGGCUGCAUUAACGCAUUAUUUGUUAACAGAUUGAGGAAUUGUAGGGUUUAUACGGGACCUGUGAUUGGUUCAAUUUUGUUAGAGGAAGUCGAGAACUGCGUGUUCGUGUUAGCAUCGCAUCAGAUAAGGAUACAUAAUGCGAAAAGUUGUGAUUUUUAUUUGAGAGUGAGGAGUAGACCGAUAAUUGAAGAUUGUGGAGGUGUGAGGUUUGCGCCGUAUUGUUUGAGGUAUGUGGGCAUUGAGGAGGAUUUGACGAAAGCAGGGCUGGAAGAGGAGAAAGAAAAUUGGGGAAAUGUGGAUGAUUUCAAGUGGUUGAGAGCAGUGAAAUCACCUAAUUGGUCAGUUUUGGAGGAAAGUGAAAGGAUUGGCUGUUUGGAGAUUGAGGAUUCGGGAAGCACUGAAGCUGAAAUGGAGAUUGAGGGGGUUUAGGGAGCGGAAUUUCAAUAGUUUGUUAUGAUAGUUCUGACUUCAGGCGGAGGGUUCAUCUAUUGAAUAUUAUUGUUCUGUGACAUGUUUUCUGGAUUGUGGUCAAGUUUGCUGUUUAACAUGGUCAGUUUCAAGGAUCAGGUUGUUCUCUGGAUGUUUAAAUCCUUGAAAUACCUGCUGAAUGUGAGUUGCUGCCAUGGCCUACUGGCUGUCCUCAUAGUUUUCUGGUUGGAUGCUGAUAUUUCGCUGGGUCCAAUCUGGCUGUAUGCUCGUGGAUAGAUCUUGAUGAUCCAAUUCAUUCAGUUCUCAACUACAACCAUGUGACCUAGCUCUGCAUGCAUCGUUGUUUUAACCUGUUACUUGAUUCUCGUAUUCUAUAUCUAGGAACUAAGAUAUCCAUGAGCAAGCCUGGAUAAUUCGAUCCCCCUUCCUUCUUUUCUCUCUGUCUCUCUUGAUCUUGUAGAGAGAACAAGUUUAUUUUCAGGUUUUAAAGUUCGUUUCCAAUGUAGUUGGAUCAUUUGUCUUGAUCCCACUUCUGCAUAGUGAAUGGUGCAGUCUUGAGUGCCAUGCAGAACGACAAGUAUUCACAGGUUGAUAUCAUUCUGAAGGAAUUGGAUCCAGGGACAGGGGUUUGAGAAAUGGAAUCUAAGAGCCUUCUCAAGAAAGAUCACCUGCAAACUGUACAUGUUUGUCAGUGCUUGUGUGCAAAUUUUAGUCCUAGUUCAAAUGCUAUUUUGAUUAUGAGAAAAACAAAGGUAAAAACUAGUCUGAUAAUUGAAGGCCUGAAAGAAAACGUCGUUGAUUCGCGUACAUGAUUGACAUGAUUUAGCUGCAGAGUGAUUAAGUUUAGGGGUUGCCUGAUAAUUGCCAUAAAAAAAGUUUGCCUAUGUAUUUUCCAAGAGUAAGAAAAAUUUUAAUCAUUAACUUAAUAUUUGACUCUAUCAAUCAAUCUUGAAACCUUCCAAUUUAAAUUCUUAUUUAACUCAAAAUUUAAAUUAAAUUAUAUAAAAAUUGAUUAAAUAUAACCUAGUUGAUUUAAUGAGUUAAAGGAUAGUCUAGAUAAUCAGUAAAAAUAUAAUAUUGAUUUAAAAAUUUUUUCAAGACUAUUUUUUUUUAUAUAAAUAUUGACUUGCCAAUAUUUUUUAUUAACAUUGGCAUGACAACAUUUUAGAUUUAACUGGUUGACUUGCCAAGCUUGUCACUUGGGUCAUGAAUCCGAGUUGAUUUAAUAAGUUUGAUUUUCCAAAACAAUUUUUUUAUUUAAUUAAACAAGAGUAGAAAUAGGCAAUUGCAGUAAAACAACCAAAUAAUAUAUAAAAAAGUGAUUAUGAUGAGUUGUAAAAAACAUGAUGCUAAUACUAAAAAAUAUUUUUAUUAUCUCACAUGAGAACAAAGCAAUAAUUAAAUAAAAUUUAAUAAUAUAAUAUUUAAAAUAUAUUCUUAAUUGACUUAAUAAUUUUUAAAAUAAAAUACAAUGUGUUUUAAAUUAAUUAAUUUUUAAGAAAUUGAAUUAGUUUUUUGAAAAAAAAUAAAAAAAUAGACCAUGCUUCUUAAAAUAAAAAAAUUGAUGAUCGAAGGCAAAAAAGAAGAUAAAGGACUAGAAUUGACACCAUAGUUUUUUAAAAAAGAAAAGAGCAACCAUUUUUUCUUUGUUCAAUUUUAGUCCUCUCAUUUUUAAUCUCUUGAAAAUAAAAUCAUUUUUUGUGAAAUCGAGUAUCAAUAUGAUUUUAGGAUAUUUUUUAAGGCCAUAAUAACUAUAUAUAAAAAAAUCAAAACAAAUCAUUAAUAUUAAAUUCUAAUAAACACAAUUUCAAAUAAUAAAAUUAAAAAGAAAAAAAAUUAACAUAUACUGAAAGGCCUUUACAUUUUUACUCUAGCAAUGAAUAGUGAAAUGCCAAUACUUUGAUCCUCAAAAUUUUUGAGGACUUUUUUUUUUCAAUUUCAUAUUCAAACAUUGGGUUUAUUGAGUACUGAAUCUUAUAAUUUGUUUUGAUUGUUUUAUAUGGAGUUAUCUUAGUUUUAUGACCCGAGUCAUGAAUUUUGUUGGCUAGCCGUGCUGAAUAAGGUAAUUUUUUAAUUAUUUUUUUCAAUUUAAUCCUUCAAUAUUGAAUUUAUUGAUGAUUGAUUUCAUAAUUAUUUUUAUUUGGUUUCUAUUGGGUUAUCACGGUUUUAUUACCCGAGUCGUGAGUUAGCCUGAUUGACUUGUUUUUUUUUUGUUUUUUUAAUUGAUUUUUUCUUUAAUUUUAUCAUUUAAUAUUGAGUUAAUUGAAAAUUGAGCUUCAUAAUUUAUUUCUAUUUACUUUUUAUGAAAUUAUGCCGAUCUCAUGACUUAUGUUUGACUGGUUAAUCCAGGUUAACCCGAUUUAUUUUUUUAGUUGAGUUUUAUUUUUAAUUUUAUUUUUUAAUGUUAGAUUUAUUGAGAAUUGAGUUUAAUAAUUUUUCUUGAAAAUUGAUUUUUAUAGAGUUAUUAUUUUUUUUAGACCUGUCAAGUCAAUUUCUAAAUUUUUUUUUCUAUUAAAAAAUAUAUUAAUAAUACCCAAAUAUUAUUUUAUAUCUGAAAACAUUUUGAUUUAAACCACAUCAUAAUGCGAACAAUGAUAUAUAGUUUAAUGACUAAAAGCAAAUAAAAAUAA
Populus trichocarpa (black cottonwood) is the source of this 3846-nucleotide RNA transcript. It is a transcript of the gene named tubulin-folding cofactor C, with no coding region annotated. The transcript is spliced from 4 exons. Lineage: Eukaryota; Viridiplantae; Streptophyta; Magnoliopsida; Malpighiales; Salicaceae. The record is from RefSeq and is a predicted model, not a curated record.